UAUUUGGAGUCUGCACAACUUGCUGCUG
Molecule: unclassified non-coding RNA, 28 nt
Filed under: Mus musculus (house mouse)
Lineage: Eukaryota; Metazoa; Chordata; Mammalia; Rodentia; Muridae
Description: oocyte_clustered_small_RNA5072
Source: RNAcentral